UGGCUCAGUUGGUAGAACAUGGUGUUUGCAACGCCAUGGUUGUGGGUUCAAUUCCCAC
This is a non-coding RNA of Salmo salar (Atlantic salmon), 58 nucleotides long. The record is from Rfam. NCBI's taxonomy places the organism in Eukaryota, Metazoa, Chordata, Actinopteri, Salmoniformes, Salmonidae.